RNAcentral lists this non-coding RNA (864 nucleotides) under Pongo abelii (Sumatran orangutan). Lineage: Eukaryota; Metazoa; Chordata; Mammalia; Primates; Hominidae. The record is from RNAcentral.
AGCAUAGCUGCCGGGCCAUGUUCAGAUGCUCUUGGUUCUCGGGGGGGAGUGGAAACCUGGUGCCAAGCCCUGGAGACUCAUUGCAGUAAAGCCACUCCGUCCUCACUGAGUCCACAGGGGAAUCUGGCCAAGGCCACAGACCCUAGCUGCCUUGUGGACAGGACAAGAGUGCACACAGUGCAAGGCCCAGCCUGACCUUAGCUACAGGGAGGGCAGCCUGCUUUGCGGGGGAGAAUGAGAUGAGGGAGAUACCUUGGGUAAUCUGCGCCCGUUGGGGCAGAGGCUCUGUGGUGGCAGGCUCCGGGGAGGCCCUGGCCUACCGUCAUGCCGGUUUAGCAUCUGGUUCAGCAUCUGUUUUCUGACUUGAAGGAGGAAGGAUGUCCCGAGCAGCUGAGGAAUGACACUCAGUGCCUGGCAUUUUGGAGGUGCCCUGACACUGGGCGGGGCUCAGUGCACAAACAGCAGGGUCCCGGGUUCCUGGGGCCAGUGGGCUCUGCUGCUUAUGCCCCACGUCUCAGGGUCCAGGACGCACCACCAGCUCUAGGCUUCUUUCUCUAUGUUCAUUUCCGGAGCUGUGGCAGGUGGCUUAGAGCGGUCUAGGCCAUGAGAGGACAUGGAAUCUUGCUUCUGCUUGGCAGGAAAGUUCAAUAGGAGCGUCUUGGCUGUGUGGCCUCUGAUGAGAUGAUUUUAUUGCGAGCUUUCUCUUCACCCUCGCCAGUGCUGCCUGAGGUCACACUCCCUGAUGGGAAAGUAGAGGAGACGAAAGUAGAGGGUUCUGCAGGCCAGAGUAGGUGAGACCUCGCAUCUUCCUGGGGCUGUGUCUUGCCCAGUUGUCAGGCAGCAAACAGCGCUGAGUUGCUACCA